Molecule: ribosomal RNA, 619 nt
Filed under: uncultured Gammaproteobacteria bacterium
Lineage: Bacteria; Pseudomonadati; Pseudomonadota; Gammaproteobacteria
Description: bacterial SSU rRNA
Rfam family: Bacterial small subunit ribosomal RNA
Source: RNAcentral
GCAGUCGUACGGUAACAGGCCGCUGUGAUCCCUUCGGGGUGAACUUGGUGCUGACGAAAGGCGGACGGGUGAGUAAUACAUAGGAAUCUGCCCAGUAGUGGGGGACAACCUGGGGAAACUCAGGCUAAUACCGCAUACGCCCUACGGGGGAAAGGCUUCGGCCGCUAUUGGAUGAGCCUAUGUCUGAUUAGCUUGUUGGUGGGGUAAAGGCCUACCAAGGCGACGAUCAGUAGCUGGUCUGAGAGGACGAUCAGCCACACUGGGACUGAGACACGGCCCAGACUCCUACGGGAGGCAGCAGUGGGGAAUAUUGCACAAUGGGCGAAAGCCUGAUGCAGCAAUGCCGCGUGUGUGAAGAAGGCCUGCGGGUUGUAAAGCACUUUCAGUGGGGAGGAUUAUGACGUUACCCACAGAAGAAGCACCGGCUAACUCUGUGCCAGCAGCCGCGGUAAUACAGAGGGUGCGAGCGUUAAUCGGAAUUACUGGGCGUAAAGCGCGCGUAGGCGGCUUGGCCAGUCGGAUGUGAAAGCCCCGGGCUUAACCUGGGAAUUGCAUUCGAUACUACCAGGCUAGAAUGUAUUAGAGGGAAGUGGAAUUCCGGGUGUAGCGGUGAAAUGCG